GACGGAGGAUGCAAGUGUUAUCCGGAAUCACUGAGCGUAAAGCGUCUGUAGGUGGUCAAAUAAGUCAACUGUUAAAUCUUGAGGCUCAACCUCAAAACCGCAGUCGAAACUAUUAGACUAGAGUAUAGUAGGGGUAAAGGGAAUUUCCAGUGGAGCGGUGAAAUGCGUAGAGAUUGGAAAGAACACCAAUGGCGAAGGCAGCUCUCUGGGACGGUACUGACGCUGAGACGCGAAAGCGUGGGGAGCGAACAGG
Molecule: ribosomal RNA, 253 nt
Filed under: uncultured bacterium
Lineage: Bacteria
Description: partial 16S ribosomal RNA
Rfam family: Bacterial small subunit ribosomal RNA
Source: RNAcentral